RNAcentral lists this transfer RNA (74 nucleotides) under Alloactinosynnema sp. L-07. It matches the Rfam family "tRNA". From Rfam's summary of the family: Transfer RNA (tRNA) molecules are approximately 80 nucleotides in length. Their secondary structure includes four short double-helical elements and three loops (D, anti-codon, and T loops). The record is from Rfam by way of RNAcentral. Lineage: Bacteria; Bacillati; Actinomycetota; Actinomycetes; Pseudonocardiales; Pseudonocardiaceae. RNAcentral also lists the same sequence under 3 other names.
GGGGCGUUAGCUCAAUUGGUUAGAGCUGCGGACUUUUAAUCCGUAGGUUCCGGGUUCGAGCCCCGGGCGCCCUA